Molecule: ribosomal RNA, 650 nt
Filed under: uncultured bacterium
Lineage: Bacteria
Description: bacterial SSU rRNA
Rfam family: Bacterial small subunit ribosomal RNA
Source: RNAcentral
ACGCUGGCGGCAGGCCUAACACAUGCAAGUCGAGCGGUAGAGAGAAGCUUGCUUCUCUUGAGAGCGGCGGACGGGUGAGUAAUGCCUAGGAAUCUGCCUGGUAGUGGGGGAUAACGUUCGGAAACGGACGCUAAUACCGCAUACGUCCUACGGGAGAAAGCAGGGGACCUUCGGGCCUUGCGCUAUCAGAUGAGCCUAGGUCGGAUUAGCUAGUUGGUGGGGUAAUGGCUCACCAAGGCGACGAUCCGUAACUGGUCUGAGAGGAUGAUCAGUCACACUGGAACUGAGACACGGUCCAGACUCCUACGGGAGGCAGCAGUGGGGAAUAUUGGACAAUGGGCGAAAGCCUGAUCCAGCCAUGCCGCGUGUGUGAAGAAGGUCUUCGGAUUGUAAAGCACUUUAAGUUGGGAGGAAGGGCAGUAAAUUAAUACUUUGCUGUUUUGACGUUACCGACAGAAUAAGCACCGGCUAACUCUGUGCCAGCAGCCGCGGUAAUACAGAGGGUGCAAGCGUUAAUCGGAAUUACUGGGCGUAAAGCGCGCGUAGGUGGUUCGUUAAGUUGGAUGUGAAAUCCCCGGGCUCAACCUGGGAACUGCAUUCAAACUGACGAGCUAGAGUAUGGUAGAGGGUGGUGGAAUUUCCUGUGUAGC